RNAcentral lists this ribosomal RNA (640 nucleotides) under uncultured bacterium. RNAcentral's name for it is "bacterial SSU rRNA". It matches the Rfam family "Bacterial small subunit ribosomal RNA", at positions 8 to 655 of the family's 1533-position model. The record is from RNAcentral.
AGAGUUUGAUCCUGGCUCAGAUUGAACGCUGGCGGCAGGCCUAACACAUGCAAGUCGAGCGGGGUUUUCGGACCUAGCGGCGGACGGGUGAGUAAUGCGUAGGAAGCUACCCGAUAGAGGGGGAUACCAGUUGGAAACGACUGUUAAUACCGCAUAAUGUCUACGGACCAAAGUGUGGGACCUUCGGGCCACAUGCUAUCGGAUGCGCCUACGUGGGAUUAGCUAGUUGGUGAGGUAAUGGCUCACCAAGGCGACGAUCUCUAGCUGGUUUGAGAGGAUGAUCAGCCACACUGGAACUGAGACACGGUCCAGACUCCUACGGGAGGCAGCAGUGGGGAAUAUUGGACAAUGGGCGCAAGCCUGAUCCAGCCAUGCCGCGUGUGUGAAGAAGGCCUUCGGGUUGUAAAGCACUUUCAGCGAGGAGGAAGGGAGUUGUGUUAAUAGCACGGCUUUUUGACGUUACUCGCAGAAGAAGCACCGGCUAACUCUGUGCCAGCAGCCGCGGUAAUACAGAGGGUGCAAGCGUUAAUCGGAAUUACUGGGCGUAAAGCGCACGCAGGCGGUCGGUUAAGUCAGAUGUGAAAGCCCCGGGCUCAACCUGGGAAUUGCAUUUGAAACUGGCCAACUAGAGUAUGUGAGA